Molecule: ribosomal RNA, 433 nt
Filed under: uncultured bacterium
Lineage: Bacteria
Description: partial 16S ribosomal RNA
Rfam family: Bacterial small subunit ribosomal RNA
Source: RNAcentral
AACGAACGCUGGCGGCAGGCCUAACACAUGCAAGUCGAGCGAGGACUUCGGUCCUAGCGGCGGACGGGUGAGUAACGCGUGGGAACGUGCCCUUUGCUUCGGAAUAGCCCUGGGAAACUGGGAGUAAUACCGGAUGAGCCCUUUGGGGGAAAGAUUUAUCGGCGAAGGAUCGACCCGCGUUGGAUUAGGUAGUUGGUGGGGUAAUGGCCUACCAAGCCGACGAUCCAUAGCUGGUUUGAGAGGAUGAUCAGCCACACUGGGACUGAGACACGGCCCAGACUCCUACGGGAAGCAGCAGUGGGGAAUCUUAGACAAUGGGGGAAACCCUGAUCUAGCCAUGCCGCGUGAGCGAUGAAGGCCUUAGGGUUGUAAAGCUCUUUCAGCUGGGAAGAUAAUGACGGUACCAGCAGAAGAAGCCCCGGCUAACUCCGUG